GACUGAUCCAUCAUUGAAUGGUUGAUCAUGUGAAUGAAGUGUUUUUGAUUGUCUUUGUAGUUGUAUUUUGGAAAUUCUGCAAGGGUGAUGAGUCGUAACUGGUGAAAUGUGACAAAGCCCUCAACUCCUUAUGAAGCAACAGAUAUCAUUUGGUAGGAGUUGAAUUGCGCAUGCAUGGGGAUUAUUUGCUUUGCUCCAGAUAAAAUUUUGGUGAAUAAGAGAUUCCAUUCCUUUGGCUAAGGAGUUGGAUUUUGACUCAAUUGUUAGCAGUUUGGUAAUUUUAUGGCAUGCUUGGAUUGUUAGCAGUUCGGUAAUUGUAAGGUCUCUUGGCUCUGGUGCAGUUUGGAGUCUGGUCUGAAGUUUCCCAUUACUGCUUAAGUUGUUAGUUGUUGGUUGUUUCUCAUCAAUGAAUACGGGUAUUCUAUUUGAUUUGUUUAGAAGGAAUUAAUGUCAACCGUGAAAUGAGUGUCACCAUGCUACUGGCUUCACAUUUAGUAACCAGGUCUAUUUUUCCUCGAGGAUUUUUCAAUAAAUUAUCAUGUCAGGUGUGGAUGGUACGGAAAAAUGUAGUUUCUACGGUUGAUGCUCUGUAAUAAUUCAUGUAAUUUGUGACAUAACUUUGAAGACAGUUGUCCUCUGAGAUUCACAUUCUCUUCAUGCUACUACUCUUUUCUCUUAUUAUCGACAAGAAAUUCUGAACAAUGGUAACUGGUUGCACAAGUGUAGUCCAAUUGUUGUUGCCAUUUCAUGGGUUCCACACUGCAGCUUAAUUAGGAACUAAUAUGGGUAACUUUCUCUCAUGAUAUAGCGCCCUCUUAUGUUUGGGAUUCACUGGAUUU
Molecule: long non-coding RNA, 839 nt
Organism: Capsicum annuum
Lineage: Eukaryota; Viridiplantae; Streptophyta; Magnoliopsida; Solanales; Solanaceae
Exons: 3
Source: RefSeq, a predicted model, not a curated record